GUCUGUAGGGGAAGGUGUCUGUAGGGGAUGGUGUCUGUAAGGGAAGGUGUCUGUAGGGGAAGGUGUCUGUAGGGGAAGAUGUCUGUAGGGGGACGUGUGUGUCUGUAGGGGAACGUGUGUGUCUGUAGGGGAAUGUGUCUGUCUGUAAGGGAAGGUGUCUGUCUGUAGGGGAAGGUGUGUGUCUGUAGGGGAAGGUGUGUGUCUGUAGGGGAAGGUGUCUGUCUGUAGAGGAAGGUGUCUGUAGGGGAAGGUGUCUGUCUGUAGGUGAAGAUGGCUGUAGGGGAAGGUGUGUGUCUGUAGGGGAAAAUGUGUGUCUGUAGGGGAAGGUGUCUGUCUGUAGUUGAAGAUGUAUGUAGGGAAAGGUGUCUGUCGGAAGGGGAAGGUGUGUGUCUACAGGGGAAGGUGUGUGUCUGUAGGGGAAGGUGUGUGUCUAUAGGGGAAGGUGUGUGUCUGUGGGGGAAGGUGUGUGUCUGUAGGGGAAGGUGUGUGUCUGUGGGGAAGGUGUCUGUCUGUAGAGGAAGGUGUCUGUAGGGGAAGGUGUCUGUCUGUAGGGGAAGGUGUCUGUAGGGGAAGGUGUCUGUCUGUAGGGGAAGGUGUCUGUCUGUAGGGGAAGGUGUGUGUCUGUAGGGGAAGGUGUGUGUCUGUAGGGGAAGGUGUGUGUAAGUCAGGUGAGUAAUGUGAGUGGCAGCUAGCCUAUCUCUCCUCCUCCUCUGUGGUAGCUACAUCACCAUUAUCCCUCCUCUCCUCCCCCUCUGUGGUAGCUACAACACCAUUAUCCCUCCUCUCCUCCCCCUCUGAAGUAGCUACAACAUCAUUAUCCCUGCUCUCCUCCCCCUCUGUGGUAGCUACAACAUAAUUUUGCCUCCUCUCCUCCUCCUCUGAAGUAGCUACAACAUCAUUAUCCCUGCUCUCCUCCCCCUCUGUGGUAGCUACAACAUCAUUAUCCCUCCUCUCCUCCUCCUCUGUGGUAGCUACAACAUCAUUUUGCCUCCUCUCCUCCCCC
Oncorhynchus tshawytscha (Chinook salmon) is the source of this 1003-nucleotide long non-coding RNA. The record is from Ensembl. NCBI's taxonomy places the organism in Eukaryota, Metazoa, Chordata, Actinopteri, Salmoniformes, Salmonidae.